RNAcentral lists this ribosomal RNA (658 nucleotides) under Escherichia coli. Its description in RNAcentral is "partial 23S ribosomal RNA". It matches the Rfam family "Bacterial large subunit ribosomal RNA", at positions 2141 to 2798 of the family's 2925-position model. Lineage: Bacteria; Pseudomonadati; Pseudomonadota; Gammaproteobacteria; Enterobacterales; Enterobacteriaceae. The record is from RNAcentral.
GGAUAGGUGGGAGGCUUUGAAGUGUGGACGCCAGUCUGCAUGGAGCCGACCUUGAAAUACCACCCUUUAAUGUUUGAUGUUCUAACGUUGACCCGUAAUCCGGGUUGCGGACAGUGUCUGGUGGGUAGUUUGACUGGGGCGGUCUCCUCCUAAAGAGUAACGGAGGAGCACGAAGGUUGGCUAAUCCUGGUCGGACAUCAGGAGGUUAGUGCAAUGGCAUAAGCCAGCUUGACUGCGAGCGUGACGGCGCGAGCAGGUGCGAAAGCAGGUCAUAGUGAUCCGGUGGUUCUGAAUGGAAGGGCCAUCGCUCAACGGAUAAAAGGUACUCCGGGGAUAACAGGCUGAUACCGCCCAAGAGUUCAUAUCGACGGCGGUGUUUGGCACCUCGAUGUCGGCUCAUCACAUCCUGGGGCUGAAGUAGGUCCCAAGGGUAUGGCUGUUCGCCAUUUAAAGUGGUACGCGAGCUGGGUUUAGAACGUCGUGAGACAGUUCGGUCCCUAUCUGCCGUGGGCGCUGGAGAACUGAGGGGGGCUGCUCCUAGUACGAGAGGACCGGAGUGGACGCAUCACUGGUGUUCGGGUUGUCAUGCCAAUGGCACUGCCCGGUAGCUAAAUGCGGAAGAGAUAAGUGCUGAAAGCAUCUAAGCACGAAACUUGCC